GGAGGAGGCAUCCAAAGGGAUCGCAUUGAUCCAAAAUCCAACCUCUCAUAUUCUCUCUUCCCACUCACAGUAUUUGGGAUCAUGCUAUCCCUUUGGAUUUCUCCUU
Molecule: microRNA precursor, 106 nt
Filed under: Phaseolus vulgaris (common bean)
Lineage: Eukaryota; Viridiplantae; Streptophyta; Magnoliopsida; Fabales; Fabaceae
Description: pre miRNA mir-393
Rfam family: mir-393 microRNA precursor family
Source: Rfam by way of RNAcentral